This 324-nucleotide ribosomal RNA is filed under the name uncultured eukaryote. RNAcentral describes it as "partial 18S ribosomal RNA". It matches the Rfam family "Eukaryotic small subunit ribosomal RNA", at positions 1470 to 1796 of the family's 1831-position model. The record is from RNAcentral.
CCCUUAGAUGCUCUGGGCCGCACGCGCGCUACACUGGUCGAUGCAACGAGUUUCUUUCCUUGGCCGACAGGCCUGGGCAAUCUUUGAACAUCGAUCGUGAUCGGGAUAGAUUCUUGUAAUUUUUGAUCUUAAACGAGGAAUUCCUAGUAAACGCAAGUCAUAAGCUUGCAUUGAUUACGUCCCUGCCCUUUGUACACACCGCCCGUCGCACCUACCGAUUGAAUGGUCCGGUGAAAUCUCCGGACUGGCGUGAGUCGGAGCAAUCUGACAAACACCGGAAAGUUGAUUAAACCUUACCAUUUAGAGGAAGGUGAAGUCGUAACA